GGUCCUCCACAGAAAGGGAAUCAUUGCCUUGCAAGAGGUUAACUCAACCCCGCCCACAUUACUCCUCUUCUCUCCGUUCCCCAACAAAAUACCCGUUAGCCCUCGCUCUCUCUCGCACUCUCCUCUCACCAGCCACCGCCGGCCCCGCCCUCCUCCCGCUGGCGAUACCCGUCGCCGACGACGCAGCAGCAACGUCAGCAAAGCUCCUCAGGUGAGGCGCUUUCCUCCCCUCCUCUCCUCCCGCGCCUGCCCUUCCUCGAAACGGUACGAUCUUUUCUCUUUCGUCCUCCAAGAAACGGACAUUGGUGCGCUCUUCUCGAUCACGGACCUCCCUUCCCUUCCUCCCCCGAUGAUCCCUCCCCUGCUGAAGGGCGCGUGAGCCCUCGACGGUUUCGGAUUAUUGAUACCGAUGAAACAGCGGAAAAAGAGCGGUCUUGAUGAUGCACGGGCUGGCCCUGGGCGGGCGCUGAGGGAACGGGAGAAGGGGUCUAAUGUUUCCGUCGCUGGUAGUGGUCCUGUAGAAUCCGGAUCCCCGCAACCUACGUCGGUGAUUUCGAAGAUGGAGAAGAAGGAGCGCAAGAGGAAAUCAUUACCCUCGGCUGAGGCAGGUGUCGGAGUAUUGGAUGAGGACGAGCAGCCGAUUGGUUGUCUUUUCAAGGUCAAGAAGGCAAGGGUUGCGAACAAGGGUAAGCCCGCUUCCCCUGGUGCCAGGGCUGAAAACCCUAGGCAUGACGAGAAGGCGGAGUACGGCGAGAUGGACGAUACAUUAGCCAGUUUCAAGAAGAAGCUGAAGGGUCCAAAGAGGGGUAAAGCUGUUGGUGACGCCGCAUCCAUAGGUGAAAAGAAAUCCCUCCCGUUGGAUGGUUUAGGCUUGUUGGAGAAGGUGGACAACAUGGGAGGUGACAAUGUGCACUUAGGGCAUCUAGGGAAUCCUGGAAGCAGAAGAUCCAGGCAUGAUUUAACCAUGAAAGAUGGGGCUAAAGGUGUUUCAGGUCUUCGCAGCAGCUCAGACGAUUCUUCAGACGUGAGUUUGGGAGAUUCACUAUCAACUUUUGUCAAAAGGGUUCAUCCGACUAAAAAAACAAAGGCAAAAGAUAGAACUCCGAGUAUUGACGAAGAAUUGAUGUGCGGAACUGGCAUGGUUUCCAAAGAUUUGGUUCCAAACCUUGAGAGAUCUCCUCUGUUAAACAGUGGUCUGCCUUCAAUUCCUGAUGGAGCACAAUUGGAACUUGUCACCAAAAGUAGGGGUCCAAAGCCUCAUGGUAUAGUUACAGAGAUGAAGAUCAAUAGUACACCAGAUGGACAUUUGGGUGGGAAAUCUGAUGAUGAAAUGUUGGUGAAAAAACAGACUUCUGCCUCCGGAAAAACUCUCUCUCGCUCAUCUAUGCCUCAAGAAGGUAGGGUACCUACUUCAAAAUCUUCCAAGUUGUCAAGUCAUAGUUCAGGUGGAACUUCCAAACAAUUACCUCGAAAUUCAACUCAUGAGGCUUCUUCUAUUUCUGGCCUUGAAGUUAUGGAAAGUGCAAAAUUUGAUGCUUGUGGUGGUUCUGUUCUACAUCAUGAGGGAAAUUUUGGUAGUUCUGCACCAUCUUCAUUUCACGUCUUGAGUUCUGAUUCUGUUGAAGCAACGAACGAGAUAACUGUUUUACCAAAACAACAGUCAGAAAAAUGUGUGGGAAAUGACCAUAAGAUGAAUCAAAGUCCUUAUGAAACGUCUGACGAGAAGCUACCUCACCAGUUUACUGAUAAGAUAGCAAGGCAGGGGAAUAGUCUCAAACAUUUCACCAAUGGGAGCGCGACUGUGGGUCUAUCAACUUCUGACCAUCUUUUUUCAAUGAUAUGUAAUGGGACUAGGAUUAGACAGUGUUCUCAUAGAUCAAAUGAAUCACCAGCUAAGGAUGGAAAUAAACUUUCUGAUGGUACUCAUGGGUUAUCAGUUCAAGGUUCAUGUUCUGAACAUGUGCUUAGGAUGUCAGAAAAAUGCAAGGAACAUUGUAAUGCUUUAAACGAAGUUAUCACUGGGGUUUCUGAAGAAAUUUAUUCUCUCAAAAGGCAGAGGAAGGAAGUAGUAGGGGCUUUACAUAAUGAUGUGUCCAUUGAUUCAUGCGAUAAAAAUCUAAAUGAGGAUAAAAUACUCAACUUAACUUCUGAGGAAGCUUUUGAAAGACCUUAUUAUAAUUGUGAGAAGAUAUCAUCUGCGAAAGAAAGACUGCAUGCAAUAGAACCUGAAGGUCAUGAUGAAUUAUCAUGGCCUUCCUCUGAGAUUUUACCAAACAUCAAUUGCCAAAAGUGUCAGCUACAUAAUGACUGUAGGUUCCAUCACGGAGUCAGUGGCAGCGGAGAAUAUGGUGGAACUUUGCCUUGUUUAUGUUUCUCAAAUUUUGGUGAGAAGGUAGAAAAAAUUGACGCUGUUGUUGUCCAUCCAGAUCAAUCGACAGAUAUUAUGAGAUCUUGUAAUUCACAACUCUUACCUGCCAACAUCUCAUCUGAUGAGAAUCCUCAACCUGAUGAUGUCAUACACCCAUCGUUGAGUGCAAACAUUCAGGGAGUUUCACUGGUAAAUCACAUACUAUAUGAUGCCUCCAAAGAGCCAUCUUCCACCAAGAGUCGAGUUCCUUUUACCAUUGAGGAUCCUGAUGUGGUGAAUUCUGAGACUAGAUUCAAUCAGACAGAAACUCAUCAAACUGAACCAUCUUCAGUAUCCGAGUGUGAUGUAUAUAACCAAUCAACAAUUUCCCGUGUGGUCCGUAAUACAAAAAUACAUAGGCAUGGUGACAUGGCAUACGAGGGAGAUGCUGACUGGGAAGUUCUAAUGCAUGAGCAAGGACCUUUUGCAAACUUGUCUGCCACUAAUGAAGACCAGUCUCUUAGACAAAGAGAUAAGUCAUGUGCACAUUCCUUAGAUGAGGUUUCUUAUGAUGGUUCAGUAGCAGUAGCAACUGGGCUAAAAGCUCAUGCUGUUAGUCCAAUUGAGAAGAUCAAAUUUAGGGACAUCUUAAAGCGUAGAGGUGGUCUUCAAGAAUAUUUGGAUUGCAGGAACUUUAUUCUAGGUUGUUGGAGUAAAGAUGUGAAGCACAUACUUCCUCUUAUGAACUGUGGUGCAACUGAUGCUUCUUCGAAAGAUGAAUCAGCACGUCAAUCCCUCAUUCGUGAGAUCUAUAUGUUUCUUGACCAAAAUGGUUACAUUAAUGCUGGAAUUGCUUCAGAGCAAUGUGUGCCAAAGCCUUCUGUAAAUGUGCAAGUUAAGGAAAAUGCUAAUACAGAACUAGAUUUGUCGCCAGUGGUUCUAAUAUGUGAAAGAGAACCACCCAAAACUUUCAUAGCUGGGGAUCCUGUGUGCUCAGAUUUGGUCUGUAACUUAAGGAGUGGGUAUGACAAAUUUUCUCCAUAUGAUGAAGGGGUGAGGUGCAAUGAUGCUCAGAAAGAAGACAUUGCGGAAACAUUUAUUCCUUCAAUGAUUGAUCCACCAUUUGAUUGUGGAUCAAAGACUGAUGGUUCCUCACAGCACAUAGAGGCUUUUUCUGAUAUGCACAAUGUGACAAACAUGGUGAAAGAAAAUGCUAAGAUUCAUUCCUCUUUUGCACAAUCUUUAGAGGUGAAUAAGAGUACUGAAUCUGGUCUAAACAUUCACAAGAGGAUAAUCAUUGUUGGAGCUGGUCCUGCUGGCUUAACUGCAGCACGUCAUUUGCAUCGCCAAGGCUUUUCCGUAACUGUUCUCGAGGCUCGAGAUAGAGUUGGUGGUCGUGUAUACACAGACCGCUCAUCACUUUCAGUUCCUGUUGAUCUUGGUGCCAGCAUUAUCACUGGUGUAGAGGCUGAUGUUGCAACUGAAAGAAGACCAGAUCCAUCAUCCUUAAUCUGUAACCAGUUGGGUCUUGAGUUAACUGUUUUGAACAGUGAUUGUCCUCUUUAUGAUAUAGUCACAGGUCUUAAAGUUCCAGCUGACUUAGAUGAAGCUCUGGAAGCUGAAUAUAAUAGUCUUCUUGAUGACAUGGUACUUCUUGUUGCACAAAAUGGUGAAGGUGCAAUGGAAAUGUGUCUCGAGGAUGGAUUGGAAUAUGCCAUUAGGAAGCGGCGGAUGUCUAAGGCAACAUCAGAUUCUGUAGAAUUCAAUAAACUAAGUGUGGUUUAUGAUUCAGCAACAGUGGAUGCUUCUGUAAAUUCCUCAGCUUCUAGAUUGACAGAUGGUGCUGACCAUGAUAUUGAAACUAAUAUUUUGAGCCCCCUUGAGCGAAGAGUGAUGGAUUGGCACUUUGCGCAUUUGGAGUAUGGUUGUGCUGCAUCACUUAAGGAAGUAUCACUUCCUCACUGGAAUCAAGAUGAUGUUUAUGGAGGAUUUGGUGGGCCCCACUGUAUGAUUAAAGGGGGUUACAGCACAGUUAUAGAAAGUUUAGGCCUGGGACUUGAUAUUCAAUUAAACAAAAAUGUUACUGAGAUCAUCUAUAACACCAAUGAAAUAAGUGGUGCCGGCCAAGAUGAAAACAAAGUCAAAGUUAUUACAUCGAGUGGUAUGGAAUAUGUAGGGGAUGCAGCCUUGAUCACUGUUCCACUUGGUUGUCUGAAGGCAGAGACAAUUAAGUUUUCUCCUGCCUUACCUGAUUGGAAGCAGACUUCUAUCAAGAGGCUUGGCUUUGGUGUGCUAAAUAAAGUUGUAUUGGAGUUCUCUAAAGCUUUUUGGGAUGAAAACGUAGACUACUUUGGGGCUACUGCAGAAGAAACAGAUAAAAGGGGCCAAUGUUUUAUGUUUUGGAAUGUGAAGAAGACAGUUGGGACACCUGUUCUUAUAGCACUUGUAGUUGGAAAGGCAGCUAGACAAACCUUCAGCAAAUCUGAUCAUGUGAACCAUGCUUUGAUGGUUCUUCGCAAACUUUUUGGUGAAGCUUCUGUACCAGAUCCUAUUGCAUCUGUUGUGACAAAUUGGGGUAUGGACCCAUUCAGUAGGGGUGCUUACUCUUAUGUUGCUGUUGGAGCAUCUGGUGAAGACUAUGAUAUUUUGGGAAGAACAGUUGCAAAUUGUUUAUUUUUUGCUGGUGAAGCAACCUGCAAGGAGCACCCUGAUACUGUUGGUGGUGCCAUGAUGAGUGGUCUUCGAGAAGCAGUACGCAUUAUAGACAUCUUAACUACUGGUAAGGAUUACCUAGCAGAAGUAGAGGCAAUGGAAUCUACACUGAGACAGUCAGAUAGUGAACGAAAUGAAGUAAGAGACAUGUCAAAGCGACUUGAUGCAUGCAAGCUUUCUAGUGGUCUUUGCAAAAGCUCUUCAGAUGGCAAACAUAUAUUGUCCACCAAGGAAUCUUUAUUGCAAGACUUGUUCUUUAGUGCAAAAACUACAUCUGGACGACUACAUCUUGCUAAAGAAUUAUUGCGCCUUCCUGUUGAAUCUCUAAAAUCUUUCACUGGGACCAAAGAAGGACUCAGCACACUCAACACUUGGAUCCUUGAUUCGUUGGGAAAAAAUUCUACUCAGCUCUUGCGACAUUGUGUUCGCCUGCUUGUUCUUGUAUCAACUGAUUUAGUUGCUGUUCGUUUAUCUGGAAUCGGAAGAACCAUUAAAGAUAAGGUAUGUGUGCAUACUAGUCGAGAUAUCCGUUCUGUUGCAAGUCAGCUGGUUGGCAUGUGGAUAGAAGUUUUCCGCAAGGAAAAGGCUGUAAAUGGAUUGAAGCUGCUGAGGCAAGCAACAUGCUCAGAAUCAUCAAAAGUCAGAUCUAAGGAACUCAUAUUAGGAAAGCCACAUCUACGGAUGACUACUGAAACAUCGGAAAAUAAAUGUACUAUUCAAGUUCCUUCAUCUUCUGGAAGCCAUUCACCAUCUAAAGUAAACAUUAAGAAACCUGAGAUCCUGCCCACCAAGUUAGAAUCCUCAGUAUGCAUAAAAUCUGAUGUCAGAUCAUUGCGUUCACAGAGUAUUGUACACACAAAGUCAAAGACAAAGGAUAAUUUAGUUGUAUCUGAAGAAGCUGCAACCUUUGCUGCCGUAGAAUCUGCACGUGCCGCUGCUCUUAAAGCUGUAGAGGCAUAUGCAACUUCAGAAGCAGAGGUGCCAUUGCGUGAGCUUCCCAAGAUACCAUCUUUUCAUAAAUUUGCGAGACGUGAACACUGUGUCCAGUUGGAUGAAUUUGAUGUAAGAAGGAAGUGGUCUGAUGGCAAUUUCGGACGGCAAGAUUGUGUAUCAGAAAUAGAUUCAAGAAACUGCAGGGUUAGAAAUUGGUCUAUUGAUGUCAGUGCUGCUUGUCUUGACAAUUCAAAAAUGUCCGGUGAUAACUAUACUCAGUGCAGCUAUUCAAAUGAAGUACCAUAUACUUCAAGUCUAAGGGAACAUUCUGGAGAAAGUGGAGCAGUGGAUAGUAGAUUGACCAAAGCUUGGAUUGAUACAGAUGCUGUUGGUAGUGGAGGUGUUAAGGAUUCUCUUGCCAUUGAGAGGUGGCAGUUACAAGCAAUGGAUGCAGAUGCUGAUUUUUAUAGCAGCAUUCAUAUAAGAGAUGAAGAAGACUCCAAUAACUUAGUCUUACCAGCUUUAAGGAACCAAUGUCAGACUGGGGCAGAUGCUGCCUUACAAGUAGCAGAAAACAAAUCAUCUCUAGAGCAUCAGCAAAGAGGAGUGAACUAUAUUAAACAAGGUGUUGUGGAUUAUGUAGCUUCCCUACUGAUGCCUCUGUACAGAACUAGGAAGAUUGACAGAGAAGGUUAUAAAUCAAUAAUGAAGAGAACUGCAACCAAGGUUGUGGAACAAUGUACAGAAGAAGAAAAAAGAUUGGCUAUUUAUGACUUUCUUGAUUUUAGACGGAAGAACAAGAUUAGAUCUUUUGUGGACAAGUUGAUUGAGAGGCACAUGGCUAUGAAUCAAAGUGUGAAGUCGUGAUGUUUCCAAGUGAUGUAACAAAAGCUGGCAUUUUCUUCUCCUAUGGAAGAUGGACAUCCUUCAAGACCUUAUAACCUAUCACCAGGUCUGUUGCUUCAAAACUGUUGUGAAGCUGGGUAAAUGAUGAGUUGAUGGGCUGGUGAAUUUGGAUCACACUCUCGGGUGAGGCGCAACAACAAGUUCCAGAAAUCCAGGUAAAUUAUGAGUUAAUGAGCUGGUUUAAUCGGACCACACUCUCUCGUGAGACGCUACAAUGAGUUCCAGGGCAUGCCCUCUGAACUGUACAACAAGAAAAACUGUAAAGUCCCACCUAUUUGAGGUUAGUACACGAGCUCCGUAAAAAAUCAUAUCCUUGUUUAAGAGUAUUUAAAUUUUUAUCUAUAGAUUCUAAUAAAGUCCAUUUAGGUCUCUCUAUCUUUUCUCGCAAAAUUAAUAGUUUCACAUCUUAUAACUACAAUAUCUAUAGGUCUCUCUAGCACAUGCUCAUACCAUCUUAAAUGGUGCUUCCUCAUCAUAAUAAAUUGUUCAUGAAUAUUCACGAAUAAAAAAUAAUUCUUUCUCAUAUUUUAUAGUAAUUUCGUACAAUCACCUCAACAUUCUUAUAUCAACAACACAAACUUCUUAGUAUUCCAUACAUGCACCUCAACAUUCUUAUCUCAAUGACAAACUUUUUAUAUAUGUUGUCUUAUAGUUACUCAGCAUUUAAAUCUAUGAAGCAUCACAUGAUUAACAACUGUCCGUUGCUGUUAUAAACAUAAAAUCACAUGACUACAGAUAGUCUUUUUCUACUCGAGCCUGGUCUGUUGGUAUCGUUGAGCCCAAAUAAUUGACAAAAAUACUUAAGCUGAAGAUAACAAUUGUAUCUCCAUCAGACUCUUAUAUGUCAUUCUAAAUCUUAGCGCCCCCACUUCCAAUGUGGAACUAAACCUAGGUGUUACACUAGUAUUAAUGAUUGUAAAACAUCUUUAUUUAUGGUAGACUAUUAUUAGUAAUCAAUGGCCAAAUUGAAAUACAAGUCAUUAGUUAGUCCCCGCAAAGAACAAGGUGCAAUUCUUUAGUAGCAAGUUGGUAAUUAAAAUGAUGAUCUAAGUUUGAGAGCAAUAAAUUAAACAUAAUCAUAGUAGAUCAUGACUAUUCUUGAUUCAAAUUCAAUUGACAUUAAAUCUUUUUAACAAUUUGUGCAUGAGCAACAGUGCAAUCUUCAUUAACUAAAUUGUCAUAAUUUCUUAUCUAAGUUUCGGAGUUCUUUUUGUUCAUAGUCUACGUUUGAUUGGAUUAAAUGUAUGAGUUUUGCCAUUAUGAUGGAUAAUAACAGAAUUCAUUUUGCCAGGCCUAAUAAUAUGCCCAGACCUGUGGCCACUCCAUUUGAUCCCUUUUCACAAAACUGCAGUUUGACUAUCAUGUUGCAUUUUAACAAUUUAUGUUGUAGUUUUUAACAUUUGAUGUAAUAAUGCCAAAAAAGUAUCAUUUGAUCUUGUUAUGACAAGUAAUUUAUACGUAUAUGGUCAUAUUUGAACUCUUUUAUAUCGGUAAAGUUGUACUUGUAAACCCUUACACCAUAUAUUAACUGCAACAUUUCGGUUGAAUAUGUGUGGCCUUAAAUUGGAAACUAGUCUAUUUGUAUGUCUGUAAUUUACUGAUAAAUUAAUCAAUUUAGUCAUGUUUGGUACAUUCAAGUGCGGUUCGUGCAUUGACUUACCUUGUUAUUGCCCACUUCUCAAUUUCGACGGGUAUAGGAGAAUAUAGGUAGGAAAAUUAGCAUAAUUAUCUUUCUUAAUUUGAUCAUAAGUGCUGUGGAGCCCUACCAAUGGGUGAAAACCAUGUUUGCAUUUUGAGAUGGGAGUAAUAGAAAUAUAUGAAGAAAGAUUCGUGAUAUGCAAUCCCAAUGCUGAUACACGAAUAACAGACAGGAUUUCUUGGAAUAAAAUCAAUUGUUGGUGUGUCCAAGGAGUUGAUUGACAAUAUUAAUAGUUUGGGAUUUAGAGGGGUGACAUGCCACUUCCAUCUUCUUUAGAUGUUUUAUCCUAGGAAUCUAGGAUGGAAAGCACUAAAUUGUAUGGUUUCUUUGUAAGUGGAACUCUUUUGAUUCUCAAGUUCAUUUCGUCAUGUUUGGUAUUAGAUCAAAAGCAAAGACAAUCAUUUUUGUUGCCUUAGCUUAGUUCUGUUCACGUGAUCUACUUUUUUGUGCUUAUAAUAAUGCAUCAAUUUGUCAGCUUUUUUCUUCUGGCUACAAAGUGUCUUUACCAUCUUGGAAAUUUUAUUCAAGAUUGUAGAUAUCUAUACAGAUACACAUGUCUAUCUUCUUAAAAAAUCUUAGUGGGCUACCAUCGGAUUUUUACUGUUGAUCUAAAUAAAAAUUUUGUUUUCUGACGAUGGAAUACCUCUAAGAUUCAGCAUUAGUUCAUGAAAUAACAAAGUGGGAAGAAUCAAAAGGAUUUGAGAACUAACAGGCAGGUAAAAAGACAGGACUUGCUCCCUGUAUCUAAGGACUGAAGUCCUUUCCGAAUCUUUCGUUUUGCAAAGAUCAGAUAGACAUAGUGGACUUGUUGCAGGCUGAUAUAUAUUCUAAUGCAAGUUUUGUAUCUUCCCGACAGUGCCUUUGCCCAUUGGGUAAGACUCUUUACUUGUUUUAUCACAUGUAGUCCGUCAUGGACAUUGAGCACAUAGAGAUCCUUGCAGCUGUCAAUGAAGAAGAAGGCUUAGUCUGGCUCAAAUCAAGUUUUCUGGAGGGAAGAUGCUUGGAACGAGUUAUUGUAUUAAUCCUAUUUGCUUACUCUGUAUGCAUCAAAUUGUGAACGCUGUUGUUCCAUUCACUUUGUCAGUUACAAUUAGACUUCGAUCUUGAACACCAACCAUCCUGAGAUUGAGGAAUCAAAGGCUAUAAUGCACCAAAGAGAACAUGACAGCGCCGAUCCACAAGGGUUAAACAUCAUUUACAGACAAAACAUGACAACUUUGGAAGCCUAUCGGUGGACGAAGAAGACGUGGCUUAGCUGCUUCAGAAAAGAUGAACGACACACGAUACCCAAGUGUCCCCUUCAUUUCCCCCUCCCCCUCUGCCACAGGCCCGACCAGCACCCUAAAGUCUUCAUCUCUCUGUCCUGCAAAGCAAAAGAAAGGGAGAAACAUGAAGAAUGUGAUCUAGCUUUUCAAAAGAACAAUUGAUCAGUGUCAUUAUCAAGCUGCGUCGGGCAUCGAAUCUGUGAAUUUUAGCUGACUUUUUUCUUCAAUGGUUUGUUCUCUCUUGGCUGGAUGCCCCCCCUGGAGAACGAGAGAUAAUGCAACUGGUCGCCCUCCAAAUGCUCUUUGGAAGAUUAGAACUGUAUCUUUUCUGAGAUUAUUUUGGCGACUAAUUCUCCAUCGCAGUCAAGAAAACAAGGAAUCGUUUCGUUUCA
RNA transcript from Musa acuminata AAA Group (dessert banana), 10254 nucleotides. It is a transcript of the gene named lysine-specific histone demethylase 1 homolog 3-like, with no coding region annotated. The transcript is spliced from 13 exons. NCBI's taxonomy places the organism in Eukaryota, Viridiplantae, Streptophyta, Magnoliopsida, Zingiberales, Musaceae. The record is from RefSeq and is a predicted model, not a curated record.